This 109-nucleotide ribosomal RNA is filed under the name Carlito syrichta (Philippine tarsier). The record is from RNAcentral. Lineage: Eukaryota; Metazoa; Chordata; Mammalia; Primates; Tarsiidae.
AUAUAUAGCCAUACCACCCUGAACACACCAGAACUCUUCUUAUUUUGAAAGCUUAUCAGGGUUGAGCCUAGUUUGUAUUUGAUGAGAGAAUAUUCAAGAAUUAUGAGAC